Molecule: long non-coding RNA, 2311 nt
Filed under: Pandoravirus quercus
Description: hypothetical ncRNA
Source: RNAcentral
CUCAAAUGUACACCCAAGAAAGCGGCACCGCGUAAAGACGCUGGCGCAAAAGGAUGUGCCCUCGGCAAAAGUGAUGCCGAUGAGGUCAACGCCGGUGAGCGCAGCCGCGUGAAAGCCUGGACGACCAGAUGCGAUCGCCAUGGCCGUCUUGAAAUGGUCAUAGGGCGUCGCGGCGCGGGCGCGACAAUCGGCGACGAGCACGGCCGUCACCAUCGCAUGCCAUGCGCCACCAACGUCAUACCAGCAGAUGUCGUCAUACGGGCGUCGCUCCACGGGCGCAUACACAUUGCGUACGGCACCAAAAGACCGCUUGGCCACGUAGGCGACCUCGGUCGGAGCGAGGCCGGCGGCCGUCCACGCCGGAUCAAACCGCAGCGUGCGGCAUUCAGGAAAAGUCGCCCAGUGCGGCGGUGGCUCCUCGUCGACGCCCAUACAUCUGCCCAGCGUGCGCAGCCAGGCCUUGGCGGCACGGUUCCACAUCAAGGACCCACCGCGCGUUAUGACACACUUGGCGACGGGCACACUUGUAUGUGUGAGCCGGCAGUGGACCUCGCUGGGCCUGCCCGUGUGCGUCCUCUGCGACAGCGGGCGCUCCAGGGGUUCCUUGAGGGCGUGGUCAAAGAGCGGCCCGCCGUCCGAGGCCAGUGGUCCCGUGGGCUCCAACGCAUAGUCGACCAUGGCGUCGGUCCAGGGCAGGAGCCGCGCGCCCAAAAGACGCACAAACCUGACAAAAUCGUCGGGCGCGUGCGCCGGAUCGGGGUAGUAGAUGACGUUGGUGGGCGACCGCGAACCCGACCAUGGCAGCGAUGUGGCGGGGUCGGUCGUGCCUGCGGUACAAGGGCUCUCAAGGCAAAUGCACAGCGUCUCGUAGGUUGUGCGCUUGCUCAGAAUAGCCGUGUCACGGCUCACAGGGCCGAGUGUCUUGUCGAUGCAGCAUACGAGAUCGCAACCCCAUAGAUUCCAUUCACUCCACCAUUCGGCGCAGGCCAGGGGCGACCCUGGGCGUGUGCGUGUGACCGUGCCCGUCGGCGAGCCACGGUCCCACGUGUCGCAGGCGAGACGAGUCCCAUCGACGAGGGUCAAGACGCCGCGGCCCGUUGGCAUCGUCGCAUAGGAGACCGACGGCGCCCGGCACGGUUGCUCAAACACGGACCCGUCCACGUAUUCGAUCCUGGUUCGCUUGCCCGUGUCGCGAUCAUUGCGGCACCAGAGGCCGACAGAGCGCACGCGCGGAUCGCCGAUCAUCGCCCAGUCGACCGUGGUCCCCCAUGUAAAGUCGCACUCGUAGCAGAGGCCACUACUAGGAGUCUGGUCGCCGAGUUUCGAAAACACGCACCAACCUUGAUUGCGCCCGGCAACCCACCCGCCGGCGCAUUGGAUAUGCGAAAUGCGACACGUGGCCACGCCGCGCCCGUGGCGGGCGCCGCCCUUCCAGGCGCCCACAUAGGAGCACUGGCCCGACACGUCGACGGAUUCGCCGGGGCCGUGGGCCAUGCCGCGACGCCACUGACACGUCAUCGUGCUGCCGUACGUACGGCGGACCCCGUGGCCGUGCCAGAGGCCGUCCUCCCACGUCCCGGCGUACCAGCGAGCAUUCUCGGUAGGCGUCGACAAGUGGUCGGCGGCCUCGACGCCAAAGCCUUGGAUGCGAUGGGCGGCGUCAAACCAGCCGUGCACCGAGCAUUCGUGGACCGCUGGAAGGCCCGGCGCUCGCUCGCGCGACCCGCCCAACGUGCCGCCGUGCCAUGCAAAGCGUUGGUCGACGCCCGCGAUUGCCAGCACGCACAGCCAUCGCCAGCGGUCGUCGGGAUCAGACGUGACGACGACCUCGCCUCGGACAAUGGCCGCGUAGAGUGGCGCACCAAGUAUGCCCCAUGCGGCGCAGAGGGCGCGCCACGGUCGCGGGUCCAUGCAGAUGCGCGCCAGCGUCCGGCACGUGCAUGCUGCCUUGCCCAGGGAGACGGCAUCAAGGCCAGCCGCCACCAUGACCAAGAGUUCGUCUGGCAGAGCGCUUAGGUGCCAUCGUUGAUCCAUAAUUUUUUGUUUUUCUGGCAGCACCCAAUGUUUUCUCUCUUUUUUCCACCUCUUUUUUUUCGUGUGGUUGCGCCUUUUUGCCGAGGCUCUGUGCGCCAGCGGCCAACCGCUCUGUUUUUCGAUGAUGGCGACGCAAUACAACAACAAGUCGAAAGGCAGAGGGCAGACAGCCCUCGGUGCACCCGCCGAGAACAAUGCGGACAAAAACUCAAACAAAAAAGGGGAUUGGGUAGGACCCUGACCAAUCGCAAUCAAAAGAAACAGUAGAAAAACAAAC